RNAcentral lists this ribosomal RNA (870 nucleotides) under uncultured marine bacterium. RNAcentral describes it as "bacterial SSU rRNA". It matches the Rfam family "Bacterial small subunit ribosomal RNA", at positions 40 to 957 of the family's 1533-position model. The record is from RNAcentral.
CGGCAGGCCUAACACAUGCAAGUCGAGCGCUCACUUCGGUGGGAGCGGCGGACGGGUUAGUAACGCGUGGGAAUAUGCCCGGUACUAAGGAAUAGCCUUUGGAAACGAAGAGUAAUACCUUAUACGCCCUUCGGGGGAAAGAUUUAUCGGUAUCGGAUUAGCCCGCGUAAGAUUAGAUAGUUGGUGGGGUAAUGGCCUACCAAGUCUACGAUCUUUAGCUGGUUUUAGAGGAUGAUCAGCAACACUGGGACUGAGACACGGCCCAGACUCCUACGGGAGGCAGCAGUGGGGAAUCUUAGACAAUGGGCGCAAGCCUGAUCUAGCCAUGCCGCGUGAGUGAAGAAGGCCUUAGGGUCGUAAAACUCUUUCGCCAGAGAUGAUAAUGACAGUAUCUGGUAAAGAAACCCCGGCUAACUCCGUGCCAGCAGCCGCGGUAAUACGGAGGGGGUUAGCGUUGUUCGGAAUUACCGGGCGUAAAGCGCACGUAGGCGGACUGGAAAGUUGGGGGUGAAAUCCCGGGGCUCAACCUCGGAACUGCCUCCAAAACUAUCAGUCUAGAGUUCGAGAGAGGUGAGUGGAAUUCCAAGUGUAGAGGUGAAAUUCGUAGAUAUUUGGAGGAACACCAGUGGCGAAGGCGGCUCACUGGCUCGAUACUGACGCUGAGGUGCGAAAGUGUGGGGAGCAAACAGGAUUAGAUACCCUGGUAGUCCACACCGUAAACGAUGAAUGCCAGUCGUCGGCAAGUAUACUUGUCGGUGACACACCUAACGGAUUAAGCAUUCCGCCUGGGGAGUACGGUCGCAAGAUUAAAACUCAAAGGAAUUGACGGGGGCCCGCACAAGCGGUGGAGCGUGUGGUUUAAUUCGAAGC